GUCUUUAUUGAACUUCACCCGGAAUUCUUUCUUGUUAAGGAUCAGGCUACCCGGAAAACAAUUCUGCAAAACAAGAGUAGAUGGGGUUUAUUCCCCGUGACCAGACGGCAAAGUGCCCCUCAACGUCAAGUCCUUGCUGCCGUCAAGCCAUCCACCUCGCGGUGGCACAAGCGCCUAGGGCAUCCCGCUCUUCCGGUAGUCCAAAAGAUUCUCCGUGACUUCAAUCUUCCUGUCUCCAAUAAACAAGAUCAUCUCCUGGUGUGUGAUGCAUGUCAGAUGGCCAAGAGCCAUCAGUUACCGUAUUCUCGUUCAACUAGUGAGUCUACAGCUCCUUUAGAGCUUGUUUUUUCAGAUGUUUGGGGUCCUGGACCCGUCUCUGUAGGAAGACAGAAAUACUAUGUCAGUUUUAUCGAUGAUUUCAGCAAGUUUAGCUGGAUAUAUUUGCUCAAAAAUAAAUCUGAUGUCUUUGAGAAAUUUCGUCUCUUUCAA
This 489-nucleotide ribosomal RNA is filed under the name Triticum aestivum (bread wheat). Its description in RNAcentral is "partial small subunit ribosomal RNA". The record is from RNAcentral. Lineage: Eukaryota; Viridiplantae; Streptophyta; Magnoliopsida; Poales; Poaceae.